Molecule: ribosomal RNA, 493 nt
Filed under: uncultured bacterium
Lineage: Bacteria
Description: partial 16S ribosomal RNA
Rfam family: Bacterial small subunit ribosomal RNA
Source: RNAcentral
GACGAACGCUGGCGGCGUGCCUAACACAUGCAAGUUGAGCGACGAACCAGGGCUUGCCCUGGGGCAAAGCAGCGAACGGGUGAGUAACACGUGGGUAACCUACCCCGAUAACCGGGACAACCCGAGGAAACUCGGGCUAAUACCGGAUGUGCUCACUGGACUUCGGUUCAGUGCGUAAAGGAAGCUUCGGCCUCCGUAUCGGGAGGGGCCCGCGGCCCAUUAGUUUGUUGGUGAGGUAACGGCUCACCAAGACCGCGAUGGGUAGCUGGUCUGAGAGGACGAUCAGCCACACUGGGACUGAGACACGGCCCAGACUCCUACGGGAGGCAGCAGUGGGGAAUCUUGCGCAAUGCGCGAAAGCGUGACGCAGCAACGCCGCGUGGGGGAAGAAGGCCUUCGGGUCGUAAACCCCUUUCAGGAGGGACGAAGGUUCGGCGGUGAAUAGCCGUCCGGACUGACGGUACCUCCACAAGAAGCCCCGGCUAACUACGUG